CAGAGAGGCUAAGAUUCAGCUAUUAUACAGCAGGCACUGGUGGUGCUGGUCCUACAAUGUUAGCUACUAGUUUUUUACUUCUUGGAGAGGAAGUUGUUGCAUCUAGUAAAGGAGAAAAGGUCAAACUGAAGCCGUAUAGUGGAAUGAUCAAUGUUGAUUUCGGAAAAUGAAUUAGAAGAAAAGACGUCUUUCUAUUGUAAGUUCAUAGGAAAGAAGUUGAUUUCAAAACUUGUGGGUAAAAUUUCUCAGAUGAUUUGAGAAACUUUACAGUUUUCAUAAAUUUAUGGGACGCUUUUAACCAAUUUCAAAACUAGCGCGACUUUUUUGUAUAUUAGUAAAAUUCAGGGUAAGUCAAGCAAUAUUCCUCACAGUUAUAUUCUGUGGACUAGUAAAAUCAUCCUGAAGUAUGGAUAAUAUUUUUUUUAAAUACCAUGAUAAAUUCUCAUGGCUAAAUUAGCAUAGAGAACUGAUC
Molecule: long non-coding RNA, 472 nt
Organism: Pistacia vera
Lineage: Eukaryota; Viridiplantae; Streptophyta; Magnoliopsida; Sapindales; Anacardiaceae
Exons: 3
Source: RefSeq, a predicted model, not a curated record